This 173-nucleotide transfer-messenger RNA is filed under the name Actinomycetota bacterium. Its description in RNAcentral is "partial transfer-messenger RNA". It matches the Rfam family "transfer-messenger RNA", at positions 186 to 374 of the family's 374-position model. Rfam says of the family: Bacterial tmRNA, also known as 10Sa RNA or SsrA, is named for its dual tRNA and mRNA-like properties. Its role is to liberate the mRNA from a stalled ribosome. The record is from RNAcentral. Lineage: Bacteria; Bacillati; Actinomycetota.
AGCGGGGCUCACCUCCCGGUGACGUCAGCGGGCCGGGAGGGACACCGAGCUGACUACGGCGGUCGCCGAGUGCCGGUGACGUGUGACCGCCCGACAACCCUCCACCGGCUGCGCUCGGAGAAGCCUGGUAGAGAAGCUGAAGGACGCGGGUUCGAUUCCCGCCACCUCCACGA